GAUGAAGAACGUAGCUAAAUGCGAUAAGUAAUGUGAAUUGCAGAAUUCAGUGAAUCAUCGAAUCUUUGAACGCACAUUGCGCCCCUUGGUAUUCCGAGGGGCAUGCCUGUUCGAGCGUUAUUUUGACCACUCCCGCUUGCGGGGUCUUGGGCCUUCGCCUCUGGGCGGGCCUUAAAAUCAGUGGCGGUGCCGUCCGGCUCUAAGCGUAGUAAAUCUCCUCGCUAUAGGGUUCCGGAGGGAUGCUGGCCAACAACCCCCAACUUUUAAGGUUGACCUCGGAUCAGGUAGGGAUACCCGCUGAACUUAAGCAUAUCAAUAAGCGGAGGA
Molecule: unclassified non-coding RNA, 327 nt
Filed under: soil metagenome
Description: partial contains 5.8S ribosomal RNA, internal transcribed spacer 2, and large subunit ribosomal RNA
Rfam family: 5.8S ribosomal RNA (bases 1-120)
Source: RNAcentral